Molecule: ribosomal RNA, 301 nt
Filed under: uncultured bacterium
Lineage: Bacteria
Description: partial 16S ribosomal RNA
Rfam family: Bacterial small subunit ribosomal RNA
Source: RNAcentral
CAGUAGCCGCGGUAAUACGUAGGUGGCAAGCGUUGUCCGGAAUUAUUGGGCGUAAAGGGCUCGCAGGCGGUUUCUUAAGUCUGAUGUGAAAGCCCCCGGUUUAACCGGGGAGGGUCAUUGGAAACUGGGAAACUUGAGUGCAGAAGAGGAGAGUGGAAUUCCACGUGUAGCGGCGAAAUGCGUAGAGAUGUGGAGGAACACCAGUGGCGAAGGCGACUCUCUGGUCUGUAACUGACGCUGAGGAGCGAAAGCGUGGGGAGCGGACAGGAUUAGAUACCCGGGUAGUCCCUGUCUCUUAUAC